CAGUAGCCGCGGUAACACGAAGGGUGCAAGCGUUAAUCGGAAUUACUGGGUGUAGAGCGUGCGUAGGCGGUGAGUUAAGUCUGCUGUGAAAUCCCCGGGCUCAACCUGGGAAUGGCAGUGGAUACUGGCUCGCUAGAGUGUGUCAGAGGAUGGUGGAAUUCCCGGUGUAGCGGUGAAAUGCGUAGAGAUCGGGAGGAACAUCAGUGGCGAAGGCGGCCAUCUGGGACAACACUGACGCUGAGGCACGAAAGCGUGGGGAGCAAACAGGAUUAGAUACCCCGGUAGUCCCUGUCUCUUAUAC
RNAcentral lists this ribosomal RNA (301 nucleotides) under uncultured bacterium. RNAcentral's name for it is "partial 16S ribosomal RNA". It matches the Rfam family "Bacterial small subunit ribosomal RNA", at positions 509 to 807 of the family's 1533-position model. The record is from RNAcentral.